This 494-nucleotide ribosomal RNA is filed under the name uncultured bacterium. Its description in RNAcentral is "bacterial SSU rRNA". It matches the Rfam family "Bacterial small subunit ribosomal RNA", at positions 25 to 518 of the family's 1533-position model. The record is from RNAcentral.
CAGGAUGAACGCUAGCUACAGGCUAACACAUGCGAAGUCGAGGGUAGCAGGGUAGCAAUACCGCUGACGACCGGCGCACGGGUGAGUAACACGUAUCCAACCUUCCCAUAACUCAGGGAUAGCCUUUCGAAAGAAAGAUUAAUACCUGAUAGUACUUUUUCAAGGCAUCUUGAGAAAGUUAAAGAUUUAUUGGUUAUGGAUGGGGAUGCGUUCCAUUAGAUAGUUGGUGAGGUAACGGCUCACCAAGUCUUCGAUGGAUAGGGGUUCUGAGAGGAAGGUCCCCACAUUGGUACUGAGACACGGACCAAACUCCUACGGGAGGCAGCAGUGAGGAAUAUUGGUCAAUGGGCGAGAGCCUGAACCAGCCAAGUAGCGUGAAGGAUGAAGGUCCUAUGGAUUGUAAACUUCUUUUAUAGUAGAAUAAAGUGAUCCACGUGUGGAUUUUUGUAUGUAUACUAUGAAUAAGGAUCGGCUAACUCCGUGCCAGCCGCUGC